GGGAAGUCCUCGUGUUGCACCGCGUUAAGAAAGGGGUGUAAACCGUGGUGAAACUCGUGUUGGUGCGGUAGAAAGGGGGUGUGUGGAAACGAUGGUAAACUAGUCUCCGUCGUUAAGCGACAGAGUAAGUAGUGCAGUGGAGUAUCCGUUAUUAGGCAGUGCUGACAAAGAAGGUAGGGUCGGAUUUAUCGUGGAGCUGGGAGGGGCGAGCAUAAGGGACGAAGUUGGGGAAACAUGUCGGAUGCGAUCAUACCAGCACUGAAAGCACCGGAUCCCAUCAUAACUACGAAGUUAAGCGUGCUUGGGUGAGAGUAGUACUAGGAUAGGUGACCUCUU
RNAcentral lists this ribosomal RNA (336 nucleotides) under Hordeum murinum. The record is from RNAcentral. Lineage: Eukaryota; Viridiplantae; Streptophyta; Magnoliopsida; Poales; Poaceae.